RNAcentral lists this ribosomal RNA (253 nucleotides) under uncultured bacterium. Its description in RNAcentral is "partial 16S ribosomal RNA". It matches the Rfam family "Bacterial small subunit ribosomal RNA", at positions 524 to 776 of the family's 1533-position model. The record is from RNAcentral.
UACGGGGGGGGCAAGCGUUGUUCGGAAUUACUGGGCGUAAAGGGCGCGUAGGCGGUUCGCUAAGUUGAAUGUGAAAACUCUGGGCUUAACCCAGAGCCUGCAUUCAAUACUGGCGGGCUAGAGUUCUGGAGGGGAUAGCGGAAUUCCUGGUGUAGCGGUGAAAUGCGUAGAUAUCAGGAGGAACACCGAUGGCGAAGGCAGGUCUCUGGGCCACUACUGACGCUGAGAAGCGAAAGCGUGGGGAGCGAACAGG